This 91-nucleotide small RNA is filed under the name Mandrillus leucophaeus (drill). RNAcentral's name for it is "Y RNA (ENSMLEG00000000196.1)". The record is from RNAcentral. Lineage: Eukaryota; Metazoa; Chordata; Mammalia; Primates; Cercopithecidae.
UCCAAAGGUAGUGAGUUAAUUCAAUUGAUCAGUCAGUUUCAUGUCAAACUUUUUGUUCUAUGCUUUUCCACCUUCUCACCACAGCACUUGA